GUGAACGCUGGCGGUAGGCCUAACACAUGCAAGUCGAACGGUAGCACAGUAAGAGCUUGCUCUUACGGGUGGCGAGUGGCGGACGGGUGAGGAAUACAUCGGAAUCUACUUUUUCGUGGGGGAUAACGUAGGGAAACUUACGCUAAUACCGCAUACGACCUACGGGUGAAAGCAGGGGAUCUUCGGACCUUGCGCGAUUGAAUGAGCCGAUGUCGGAUUAGCUAGUUGGCGGGGUAAAGGCCCACCAAGGCGACGAUCCGUAGCUGGUCUGAGAGGAUGAUCAGCCACACUGGAACUGAGACACGGUCCAGACUCCUACGGGAGGCAGCAGUGGGGAAUAUUGGACAAUGGGCGCAAGCCUGAUCCAGCCAUACCGCGUGGGUGAAGAAGGCCUUCGGGUUGUAAAGCCCUUUUGUUGGGAAAGAAAAGCAGCAGGUUAAUACCCCGCUGUUCUGACGGUACCCAAAGAAUAAGCACCGGCUAACUUCGUG
This 491-nucleotide ribosomal RNA is filed under the name uncultured bacterium. RNAcentral's name for it is "partial 16S ribosomal RNA". It matches the Rfam family "Bacterial small subunit ribosomal RNA", at positions 29 to 507 of the family's 1533-position model. The record is from RNAcentral.